Molecule: transfer RNA, 69 nt
Filed under: Marmota monax (woodchuck)
Lineage: Eukaryota; Metazoa; Chordata; Mammalia; Rodentia; Sciuridae
Rfam family: tRNA
About the family: Transfer RNA (tRNA) molecules are approximately 80 nucleotides in length. Their secondary structure includes four short double-helical elements and three loops (D, anti-codon, and T loops).
Source: Rfam by way of RNAcentral
GGAGUUGUAGCUUAGUGGCAGAGCACUUGCCUAGCAUGCAUGACGCACUGGGUUCAAUCCUCAGCACCA